RNAcentral lists this ribosomal RNA (729 nucleotides) under uncultured bacterium. Its description in RNAcentral is "bacterial SSU rRNA". It matches the Rfam family "Bacterial small subunit ribosomal RNA", at positions 38 to 763 of the family's 1533-position model. The record is from RNAcentral.
GGCGGCAGGCCUAACACAUGCAAGUCGAGCGGUAGAGAGAAGCUUGCUUCUCUUGAGAGCGGCGGACGGGUGAGUAAUGCCUAGGAAUCUGCCUGGUAGUGGGGGAUAACGUUCGGAAACGGACGCUAAUACCGCAUACGUCCUACGGGAGAAAGCAGGGGACCUUCGGGCCUUGCGCUAUCAGAUGAGCCUAGGUCGGAUUAGCUAGUUGGUGAGGUAAUGGCUCACCAAGGCGACGAUCCGUAACUGGUCUGAGAGGAUGAUCAGUCACACUGGAACUGAGACACGGUCCAGACUCCUACGGGAGGCAGCAGUGGGGAAUAUUGGACAAUGGGCGAAAGCCUGAUCCAGCCAUGCCGCGUGUGUGAAGAAGGUCUUCGGAUUGUAAAGCACUUUAAGUUGGGAGGAAGGGUUGUAGAUUAAUACUCUGCAAUUUUGACGUUACCGACAGAAUAAGCACCGGCUAACUCUGUGCAGCAGCCGCGGUAAUACAGAGGGUGCAAGCGUUAAUCGGAAUUACUGGGCGUAAAGCGCGCGUAGGUGGUUUGUUAAGUUGGAUGUGAAAUCCCCGGGCUCAACCUGGGAACUGCAUUCAAAACUGACUGACUAGAGUAUGGUAGAGGGUGGUGGAAUUUCCUGUGUAGCGGUGAAAUGCGUAGAUAUAGGAAGGAACACCAGUGGCGAAGGCGACCACCUGGACUAAUACUGACACUGAGGUGCGAAAGCGUG